GCAUCUGCAAUUUGUUGCCAGACACCGGAGAGACGCAGCAAUUGUCUAGAAGUGGAGGAUUUUGUGCAGAUCUUGCCCAAGGAUCGAUCAGUUAUCAAGGUUUGGGCACCUCUCUUUUCCUGUUUCUUCGAACAGGAAACCCAAACUGCAACGGAUGUCCAGGCAGAUGAUGAAUCAUUGACCAACGAAAGAGACAUUGUCGCCCAUGUUGCCAAUUUGCAUACCAGAUUUAUGCCAAUGUGGGUGGGCCCUGUCCGGCCAACAACAACAACAACCCAUGCAAGUCGCGUCAAAAUGUCAAUUCAAUUUAUGGGCACAACCCGCCCGGCAUACACAAAAGCCCAGUCACAUCCACAGCCACAGCCACAGCCCAAUCCAACCGAUCCACUAUCAACAUGUUGCCCGUUCUAUUAUAUGCAUAUGCAUAUAGUACACGGAUAUAGUGGCAGCAUGUUGCUGGCCGACUCUAGGCCCAGACUGCUCGACUACUCGACUGUUUCACUGUUCCCUGGCAAUUAGUCUUAUGAUUUUUUUUUUUCCCCCCUUUUUGGUCACUUGAUGAUGAAUCAAAUGUCGUUGUGCCGAACGCUGCCUUUUAAGGCUGUCCCGGCGACAGCAUGACGUGUGCUGGCCAAAUGUGAGGAAAAUACAACAUCUACAAAUAAUCCCUGGAUACCGAGGUCAAGGGUAGUGCUAUCAUACUUAAUAGAGUUGGAGUUGGAGCUUUAAUCUACCUGUAUGCAUCUUGACAAACCUUUGAAAUGGGAUAUAUUGUAUAUUACAUCGAAGAUCUGAUUUUCAGGUAUCCCAUAGUCGAAUGACUAGAUCUUGCCGACUGGUUCUUUAUAUGACAUGCACAUACGCCCAAAUGAGCAAUACGUGCCAUUGUGCGUUGUCAUUGGCUAGCGAUGUGCGAUUUGCGAAACGCGAUUCUCGUUUUUCCCAUUGUGCGGCUAACAGUUGUCUGCCACUGUACACAUGUUGUUGUUGUUGUUGCUGUUGUGUUUGUAGUCUAAUAAACAUGCCGCCGUGCUGUCUGUCGGUGCGACACAUUUACUUAUCCGCCAGCAACAAUAGAUGAUGGGUGGGGAGAGGAGGAGUACAAUAAAAGUUAUAGAAAUUUCGGACAUCAAAGCAAAUACGAGAACGUGUCUCGCUCCAUUAGCGACCGUAAACACUGUUCGAUUUUAACAGCUCACUGUUAAUGGGAGAGCUCUGUUGUGUGGAGA
This is a long non-coding RNA of Drosophila miranda, 1229 nucleotides long. RefSeq lists it as uncharacterized. The record is from RefSeq and is a predicted model, not a curated record. NCBI's taxonomy places the organism in Eukaryota, Metazoa, Arthropoda, Insecta, Diptera, Drosophilidae. The transcript has 3 exons.